Molecule: ribosomal RNA, 254 nt
Filed under: uncultured bacterium
Lineage: Bacteria
Description: partial 16S ribosomal RNA
Rfam family: Bacterial small subunit ribosomal RNA
Source: RNAcentral
UACAGAGGUCUCAAGCGUUGUUCGGAUUCAUUGGGCGUAAAGGGUGCGUAGGCGGCGCGGUAAGUCGGGUGUGAAAUCUCGGAGCUUAACUCCGAAACUGCAUUCGAUACUGCCGUGCUUGAGGACUGGAGAGGAGACUGGAAUUCACGGUGUAGCAGUGAAAUGCGUAGAUAUCGUGAGGAAGACCAGUGGCGAAGGCGGGUCUCUGGACAGUUCCUGACACUGAGGCACGAAGGCCAGGGGAGCAAAACGGG